This is a long non-coding RNA of Maniola jurtina (meadow brown), 417 nucleotides long. RefSeq lists it as uncharacterized. The record is from RefSeq and is a predicted model, not a curated record. Lineage: Eukaryota; Metazoa; Arthropoda; Insecta; Lepidoptera; Nymphalidae. The transcript has 4 exons.
CGAGAAGUCGUUAGUCGUGGAGAAAACAUAGCACCGUUACCAUGUCGUCGUCGUAUCGUCUAGUGUCAAGAAUUCCUCCCAUUUUCUUCCUAGUGCCAAUUCUACUUAUGCUUAUUGCCAGUGUUCAAUGCCAAGACGAGGUACCCACCACGUCACUGUUGUCAACUCUCAUCAUCAACAAAAUCGAGCGCUGCAUAGACAAACUGAACGCCAUCGUGGACAUCGUCGGCUUGAUCGGGGGAGGGGUCUAAAACUGCACGCCACCACUGCAUCAAUAUUGAAGAACAAAAAAGAGAAAACAAAGAAAACAAAUUGUUUUUAAAUCGUAGUUUAAACUAUUUUACGAUUCAUGCAUUUAUGUAAUACAUAAGUUUUAAUUCGAUAAAUUAAAUGUGUACAUAUUUAUAAAAAAUGAAA